AGCGAACGCUGGCGGCAGGCCUAACACAUGCAAGUCGAACGAACCUUUCGGGGUUAGUGGCGGACGUGUGAGUAACACGUGGGAACGUGCCUUUAGGUUCGGAAUAACUCAGGUAAACUUGUGCUAAUACCGAAUGUGCCCUUCGGAGGAAAGAUUUAUCGCCUUUAGAGCGGCCCGCGUCUGAUUAGCUAGUUGGUUGAGGUAAUGGCUCACCAAGGCGACGAUCAGUAGCUGGUCUGUGAGGAGGAUCAGCCACAUUGGGACUGAGACACGGCCCAAACUCCUACGGGAGGCAGCAGUGGGGAAUCUUGCGCAAUGGGCGAAAGCCUGACGCAGCCAUGCCGCGUGAAUGAUGAAGGUCUUAGGAUUGUAAAAUUCUUUCACCGGGGACGAUAAUGACGGUACCCGGAGAAGAAGCCCCGGCUAACUUCGUG
Molecule: ribosomal RNA, 434 nt
Filed under: uncultured bacterium
Lineage: Bacteria
Description: partial 16S ribosomal RNA
Rfam family: Bacterial small subunit ribosomal RNA
Source: RNAcentral